AUGUCAUUUUUGUCAGCUGGGUGAGUGGAACCAACUACAUCUAUGGCAAUCAAUUUGAAAGAUCUGAGCACGUGAAAUUUAAGGUUGCUGGGUCCCUUCCUUACACAUUAAAAUGGCUGUUUAAGCUCACUGCAGAACCUGAUUGAGUACCAACCAACAAUGUCAGGCCCAAAGUGCUGCCAAAAUCCCCGGCUAUCUCCUCUGGCGAGGAAGACGGUGGUGAGGUCUUGCAAAUUGCAUCACUCAGUUCCUAUGUUUCCGGCAAUCCUGAUUCCAUAACCGCCAUUAUUCUUGUUUCUGAUAUAUUUGGUUUUGAAGCUCCCAAACUGAGGUAUUCCACUAUUCCCUGUAGCAACAACAGCUUCUGAAGUAAUUUUUUUGUAAAAUUAAUCUUCAAUAUUGAUUUUUUUUUUUUUUUGUUUUCUAAGGGAUUGCUAUUUAUUUAUUUAUUUUUUGGGCAUAUAUGGUGUUUAGCAUCAUCAAAUGAUACAUGUCACUGGAUCUGUUAUAUUUUAUAUUAUUUACACUAAAUUCAUUCAUUAGUUGUUAAAUAAGCUUUUUUUUUUUGUUGUUGUUUUAAAUUUCUUUGACAAAAUUAUAGAAAACGUUCUUUACGUUUUAGCAUCAUCACAUGAUACAUGUCAUUGGAUCUGUUAUAUUUAAUAUUAUUUACACUAAAUUCAUUAGUUAAAUAAGAUAAUUUUUUCUUGUUUUUAAAUUUCUUAGAAAAUAUUACAGAAAACGUUAUAUUCAAAACUACAACGGUCGUCCUUAAUGUUUUGCAGUUAAGUGCUAUCACGUGUUAGACAUGUGAUAACAUUUAAUUGCAAAACUUAAUAAACUUGACAUAAAGGAUGAGAGUGGAAGGACGACCGCUUUAGUUUUGAAUAAAUGUACAAGAUGUGUCUGUAGUUAUGUCAAAUUCUUAUUUCUUUUAUAUGUUUUAUAUCGUUCUUGAUAAUAAUGAUUACACAAACACCAUUUAUUUGCAAAUGUGUUUUUUUUUUGAACGGUAGGUAGAGGUUUUUGU
This 1030-nucleotide long non-coding RNA is filed under the name Helianthus annuus (common sunflower). Its description in RNAcentral is "hypothetical non coding rna". The record is from RNAcentral. Lineage: Eukaryota; Viridiplantae; Streptophyta; Magnoliopsida; Asterales; Asteraceae.